GGGGUGGUUUGUAUAGGGGUGGGUGGGCUUACGAGGGAGGGGUGAUGGUGAAGGGGAAGGAGAAGGUGGGUAGGAGUGAAGAGAAGAGAGGAGAGUAGGAGUGAAGAGAAGAGGGAAGGAGAAAGUAAAGAGAGAGGGAGAGAGAGAGAGAGAGAGAGAGAGAAA
Long non-coding RNA from Octopus sinensis (East Asian common octopus), 165 nucleotides. RefSeq lists it as uncharacterized. The record is from RefSeq and is a predicted model, not a curated record. The transcript has 3 exons. Lineage: Eukaryota; Metazoa; Mollusca; Cephalopoda; Octopoda; Octopodidae.